AAGUAUUUGAGAGAUAUUAAAGUAAGAAUCUGGACAUCUUCGAAGAGCAACAUUAUCCCCACAGCUAAGCUCCAUAUAUUUCAUGCCUGAACAUUCGACAGCAUACAAUUCUACGGGUCGGCCAUCACGUAAAACUUGGGAGUUAAUAAAAAUCCUUGAACUAGAGUCUUUUAAAGUAGAUGAAUCGUUUAGUUUGUUUAUAUUUCUGUUUGAAAGGGGUUGUGAUGGCUCAUCCUCUGGGCGUUUUUGGUAUGAAAAAGAAUCGUUCCCCAGCUCAAACUGGCGAAUAAAAUUGGCUGAAGCCAUUAUAGUAUAUUAAAAUAAAAAAUGCCGAAAAAAUAUCGAAUUUUUUAUAAAGGGCAGCACGUUUUUCUCGAAAAUAAGGGUGCUGAACUGACCAUGAAAGAAGACUCGAGCUCCUCACCACUUGGUUUGUUUAAGAGAUUGUGAAUUCCUUUCUUUUUCAAAUAAAUAGAAGUAAUUUUUUCGGAUUUCGUGUUAUACACAAAUUCGCUCUGGGAAGGUUCACGCAGCUGUAUACAUUUGGUACGGCGUUAGACCGUAUUCGAAGUAACGAUAUAUGAGGCUUCCUAAGGAAAACAAAGGACUACUUCAAUGUUCGUUUCUUCUGGGGGUUUUAUUUAAAGGCUACUUAGAAAUGGAAUUCUUUCUCAUUUCAAAUACCCUGUUGAAAAAUUUCCAACUUUGCUAUACUCAACGACUUUACUGUUUCGGGAUAUGCAAAAGAGACGGAUUUUUCAGUCAAUUCUAAU
Molecule: non-coding RNA, 773 nt
Organism: Schizosaccharomyces pombe (fission yeast)
Lineage: Eukaryota; Fungi; Ascomycota; Schizosaccharomycetes; Schizosaccharomycetales; Schizosaccharomycetaceae
Source: the annotation of a GenBank genome assembly